Non-coding RNA from Gordonia soli NBRC 108243, 135 nucleotides. The record is from Rfam. NCBI's taxonomy places the organism in Bacteria, Bacillati, Actinomycetota, Actinomycetes, Mycobacteriales, Gordoniaceae.
GCCGGCAGUACCGCCACCUGGGCCCGAGUAAGGUGACCCUGCGCGAACGGGAAGUCGGUGCGAAUCCGGCGCUGCCCCGCAACUGUGAGGUCGAUGAGACCGCAGCCAGAUACCGCCGCGCGAACCAAGUUCUCG